UGUUUCGGCUAGGGGGCCAUCCCGGCUUACCAACCCGAUGCAAACUGCGAAUACCGGAGAAUGUUAUCACGGGAGACACACGGCGGGUGCUAACGUCCGUCGUGAAGAGGGAAACAACCCAGACCGCCAGCUAAGGUCCCAAAGUCAUGGUUAAGUGGGAAACGAUGUGGGAAGGCCCAGACAGCCAGGAUGUUGGCUUAGAAGCAGCCAUCAUUUAAAGAAAGCGUAAUAGCUCACUGGUCGAGUCGGCCUGCGCGGAAGAUGUAACGGGGCUAAACCAUGCACCGAAGCUGCGGCAGCGACGCUGAUGCGUUGUUGGGUAGGGGAGCGUUCUGUAAGCCUGCGAAGGUGGCCUGUGAGGGUUGCUGGAGGUAUCAGAAGUGCGAAUGCUGACAUAAGUAACGAUAAAGCGGGUGAAAAGCCCGCUCGCCGGAAGACCAAGGGUUCCUGUCCAACGUUAAUCGGGGCAGGGUGAGUCGACCCCUAAGGCGAGGCCGAAAGGC
This 503-nucleotide ribosomal RNA is filed under the name Salmonella enterica. RNAcentral's name for it is "partial 23S ribosomal RNA". It matches the Rfam family "Bacterial large subunit ribosomal RNA", at positions 911 to 1410 of the family's 2925-position model. The record is from RNAcentral. Lineage: Bacteria; Pseudomonadati; Pseudomonadota; Gammaproteobacteria; Enterobacterales; Enterobacteriaceae. RNAcentral also lists the same sequence under 1 other name.